This 406-nucleotide small RNA is filed under the name Pongo abelii (Sumatran orangutan). RNAcentral's name for it is "processed transcript". Lineage: Eukaryota; Metazoa; Chordata; Mammalia; Primates; Hominidae. The record is from RNAcentral.
CUAAUUUGCAGAACUGGUUGAACACAUCAAAUGUGACAUUAGCCCAUCAGCAAUUCAACAUUUAAUAGCUCUUCGAAAAAUUUAACAAGAAAUUCAGAACAUGAACCUCUUGGAAAAAGUUGGGCUUUUCUUGUUGGUGUUGUUGUCACUGUACUGACGACUUCACUUCUCAUUUUUAUUGCUAUCAAAUGCCCAAUAUGGUACAAUAUUCUGCUUAGUUAUAAUCAUCGUCGACUGGAAGAGCAUGAAGCAGAAACCUAUGAAGAUGGUUUUACUGGAAAUCCAAGCUCUCUUUCACAGAUACCAGAAACAAACUCUGAAGAAACUACAGUAAUAUUUGAACAAUUACAUUCAUUUGUGGUAGAUGAUGAUGGAUUUAUUGAAGACAAAUAUAUAGAUAUCCACG